GACGAACCGUGCGAACGUUGUUCGGAUUCACUGGGCUUAAAGGGCGCGUAGGCGGAUCACCAAGUCCGGGGUGAAAUCUUUCGGCUCAACCGGAAAAUUGCCUGGGAUACUGGUGGUCUUGAGGGAGGUAGGGGCAUGCGGAACUUCCGGUGGAGCGGUGAAAUGCGUAGAUAUCGGAAGGAACGCCGGUGGCGAAAGCGGCGUGCUGGACAUCUUCUGACGCUGAGGCGCGAAAGCCAGGGGAGCAAACGGG
This 253-nucleotide ribosomal RNA is filed under the name uncultured prokaryote. RNAcentral's name for it is "partial 16S ribosomal RNA". It matches the Rfam family "Bacterial small subunit ribosomal RNA", at positions 524 to 776 of the family's 1533-position model. The record is from RNAcentral.